RNAcentral lists this long non-coding RNA (699 nucleotides) under Homo sapiens (human). Its description in RNAcentral is "HSALNT0344307". Lineage: Eukaryota; Metazoa; Chordata; Mammalia; Primates; Hominidae. The record is from RNAcentral.
GAUUUAAAAGAUAACCAGAAGCAGCAGAGAAAACAUCUGAAGUGCUUCCUGGACACACCUGUUAGGAAGUUUCUGCAAGAACCCAGGGUCCGACCAACGUGCCCGCAGGAUGCAGAAAGGGCGCGUGAUGAGCACAGGAGAGUUUAGAGUGGCCCCGCGCCUGCUUCCCAAGCUCCAGAGACACUUUCUGCAGCAGCCGCACUCCUGACAAAUGGGAUUUUGGGGGAAUCAAGUGUGAUUUUGAUUCACUCGGGGAGCUCACCACUUAGAAGAACGCUGCGGUUUCAACCAGUCCUUCAGAAAUGCAGAGAGUGUGGGAAUUCCAAUGAAAAGGCCCUGAGGAGGGCGUGCGGUUACGGGGUCCCUUGAGCUUGAUAAAGGUAAGGACAAGGGACAAAAGCGCAGGCAGAGGCUGCGUGGGGGAUCGGAGUGGGGGCUGUGGCCUCGGUACACAGAGGAGGAAGAGCUCAGCAGAGUGAGUCCAUGUCCACAGCCUGCUCCGAAGAUCAGGGCAGUGACCCCUGGGGAAGAGGAUUUUGAAAGAUUUGGAGGGAAGGGCUGGUUGCAUGACAAAGAAGCGGCAGGAAGAGGUUACAGGUCCUGUCGGAGCCGCGUUGCCUCUGCAAGGCUGGGCGCUGGAGAAUUCUGCGCUGGGUGGAGUGAGCAUGGUGACCCAGGGCUCAGGCCACUGUCCUGGGG